RNAcentral lists this ribosomal RNA (468 nucleotides) under uncultured bacterium. RNAcentral's name for it is "partial 16S ribosomal RNA". It matches the Rfam family "Bacterial small subunit ribosomal RNA", at positions 28 to 507 of the family's 1533-position model. The record is from RNAcentral.
GACGAACGCUGGCGGCGUGCUUAACACAUGCAAGUCGAACGGAAAGGCCCUGCUUUUGUGGGGUGCUCGAGUGGCGAACGGGUGAGUAACACGUGAGUAACCUGCCCUUGACUUUGGGAUAACUUCAGGAAACUGGGGCUAAUACCGGAUAGGAGCUCCUGCUGCAUGGUGGGGGUUGGAAAGUUUCGGCGGUUGGGGAUGGACUCGCGGCUUAUCAGCUUGUUGGUGGGGUAGUGGCUUACCAAGGCGUUGACGGGUAGCCGGCCUGAGAGGGUGACCGGCCACAUUGGGACUGAGGUACGGCCCAGACUCCUACGGGAGGCAGCAGUGGGGAAUAUUGCACAAUGGGCGGAAGCCUGAUGCAGCAACGCCGCGUGCGGGAUGACGGCCUUCGGGUUGUAAACCGCUUUCGCCUGUGACGAAGCGUGAGUGACGGUAAUGGGUAAAGAAGCACCGGCUAACUACGUG